ACGGGAGGCAGCAGUAGGGAAUAUUGCACAAUGGGGGAAACCCUGAUGCAGCGACGCCGCGUGAGUGAUUGAAGUAUUUCGGUAUGUAAAGCUCUAUCAGCAGGGAAGAUAAUGACGGUACCUGACUAAGAAGCCCCGGCUAACUACGUGCCAGCAGCCGCGGUAAUACGUAGGGGGCAAGCGUUAUCCGGAUUUACUGGGUGUAAAGGGAGUGUAGGUGGUCUGGUAAGUCAGAUGUGAAAGCCCGCGGCUCAACUGCGGGACUGCAUUUGAAACUAUCAGACUAGAGUGCAGGAGAGGAAAGUGGAAUUCCUAGUGUAGCGGUGAAAUGCGUAGAUAUUAGGAAGAACACCAGUGGCGAAGGCGGCUUUCUGGACUGUAACUGACACUGAGGCUCGAAAGCGUGGGGAGCAAACAGGAUUAGAUACCCUGGUA
This 435-nucleotide ribosomal RNA is filed under the name uncultured Lachnospiraceae bacterium. RNAcentral's name for it is "bacterial SSU rRNA". It matches the Rfam family "Bacterial small subunit ribosomal RNA", at positions 341 to 792 of the family's 1533-position model. The record is from RNAcentral. Lineage: Bacteria; Bacillati; Bacillota; Clostridia; Lachnospirales; Lachnospiraceae.